GCCUUCGUGGUGUAGUGGUCAGCACGCUCAGCGCGUAUUCGCGAGGUCCUUGGUUCGAAUCCUGACGAAGGCA
RNAcentral lists this transfer RNA (73 nucleotides) under Stegodyphus mimosarum. It matches the Rfam family "tRNA". Rfam says of the family: Transfer RNA (tRNA) molecules are approximately 80 nucleotides in length. Lineage: Eukaryota; Metazoa; Arthropoda; Arachnida; Araneae; Eresidae. The record is from Rfam by way of RNAcentral.